Molecule: long non-coding RNA, 494 nt
Filed under: Cricetulus griseus (Chinese hamster)
Lineage: Eukaryota; Metazoa; Chordata; Mammalia; Rodentia; Cricetidae
Description: lncRNA (ENSCGRG00015035082.1)
Source: RNAcentral
UUGAACUAACAGAGAUCCCUCUGCUUCUGUCUCCCUAGUACUGGGAUUAAAGGCGUGUGAUCCCAAAUGCUGAGAUGAUACUUUGUGUGAACUGUUUCUCUUUUAGACUGGAUGAAUUUCGUGCAGCCCAGGGUGUCCUUCAACUCACAGAGAUCUGUCUGUCUCUGUCUCCCAAGUGCUGAGAUGAAAGGUGUGUGCCACCACUAGUGUGACUAGCUCUGCAUUCUGCAUCUUCAAGCAAACUUUGUUAGAUUAUAAACAAAAUAUCACCACAGGCAGUCAACCCAACAGUGUCCACAGUUUGUUCUGGCUCUGACAGCAGGAAAACAUCUCCAAGAAAGAACUAGAGCACUCCUCAAAAUCUUACCUGAUAGAGGCCACAAUUAUCCAAAAAGAAAGUCCAACUGUGCCAAGUGUCAGUCAAAUACUUAGGAGUGGUCCUAUUUAAAGGAAAGGGAAUUAAAAGAAGACCGUGUGCACUCUAUCUCUUCCUU